Camellia sinensis is the source of this 161-nucleotide non-coding RNA. Lineage: Eukaryota; Viridiplantae; Streptophyta; Magnoliopsida; Ericales; Theaceae. The record is from RefSeq and is a predicted model, not a curated record.
AGGCCGGUAGAAUCCCAAAACAAUCCUGUGUAAUCCCCAAUUUUUUACAACCUUGCUUCCUGUUGAUAAGGAGUUAUGGCUCAUUUUUUUCGUGGUGGAGGAAAAUCUUCUUCAGCUUCUUCUGGUUCAAACAGUUUAGUGUGAAGCAUUUUUCUCUUGCU